GGAUGAGAAGCUUCGACUAAGGUUCGAUUCGUACGCAGCGAGAAAGCGUUGCCGCAGGCAACGACCCGAAGGGCGAAGCGCGCAGCGCUGAGUCAUCCUUCCCCCACCACCA
RNAcentral lists this small RNA (112 nucleotides) under Salmonella enterica subsp. enterica serovar Enteritidis. Its description in RNAcentral is "partial RtT sRNA". It matches the Rfam family "RtT RNA", at positions 20 to 130 of the family's 130-position model. From Rfam's summary of the family: This family represents a bacterial cis-regulatory element known as RtT RNA. The exact function of RtT is unknown although it is thought that it may be involved in changing the cellular response in relation to amino acid starvation. The record is from RNAcentral. Lineage: Bacteria; Pseudomonadati; Pseudomonadota; Gammaproteobacteria; Enterobacterales; Enterobacteriaceae.